GGUGAACGCUGGCGGCAUGCCUUACACAUGCAAGUCGAACGGUAACAGGGAGCUUGCUCCGCUGACGAGUGGCGAACGGGUGAGUAAUGUAUCGGAACGUACCAUUCAGUGGGGGAUAACGUAGCGAAAGUUACGCUAAUACCGCAUAUUCUGUGAGCAGGAAAGCAGGGGAUCGCAAGACCUUGCGCUGAUUGAGCGGCCGAUAUCAGAUUAGCUAGUUGGUGAGGUAAAGGCUCACCAAGGCGACGAUCUGUAGCGGGUCUGAGAGGAUGAUCCGCCACACUGGAACUGAGACACGGUCCAGACUCCUACGGGAGGCAGCAGUGGGGAAUUUUGGACAAUGGGGGCAACCCUGAUCCAGCCAUGCCGCGUGAGUGAAGAAGGCCUCGGUGUAAGACUCUUCGCCGGAAAAGUACGUAUGGUUAAUAACCUGUGUCGGAGUGACGGUACCGGCCGAUAAGAAGACACCGGCUAACUAACGUGCCAGCACG
Molecule: ribosomal RNA, 491 nt
Filed under: uncultured bacterium
Lineage: Bacteria
Description: bacterial SSU rRNA
Rfam family: Bacterial small subunit ribosomal RNA
Source: RNAcentral